Molecule: ribosomal RNA, 484 nt
Filed under: uncultured bacterium
Lineage: Bacteria
Description: partial 16S ribosomal RNA
Rfam family: Bacterial small subunit ribosomal RNA
Source: RNAcentral
AUUGAACGCUGGCGGCAGGCCUAACACAUGCCAGUCGAGCGGAUGAAGGGAGCUUGCUCCUGGAUUCAGCGGCGGACGGGUGAGUAAUGCCUAGGAAUCUGCCUGGUAGUGGGGGAUAACGUCCGGAAACGGGCGCUAAUACCGCAUACGUCCUGAGGGAGAAAGUGGGGGAUCUUCGGACCUCACGCUAUCAGAUGAGCCUAGGUCGGAUUAGCUAGUUGGUGGGGUAAAGGCCUACCAAGGCGACGAUCCGUAACUGGUCUGAGAGGAUGAUCAGUCACACUGGAACUGAGACACGGUCCAGACUCCUACGGGAGGCAGCAGUGGGGAAUAUUGGACAAUGGGCGAAAGCCUGAUCCAGCCAUGCCGCGUGUGUGAAGAAGGUCUUCGGAUUGUAAAGCACUUUAAGUUGGGAGGAAGGGCAGUAAGUUAAUACCUCGCUGUUUUGACGUUACCAACAGAAUAAGCACCGGCUAACUUCGUG